Molecule: long non-coding RNA, 559 nt
Organism: Mastomys coucha (southern multimammate mouse)
Lineage: Eukaryota; Metazoa; Chordata; Mammalia; Rodentia; Muridae
Exons: 4
Source: RefSeq, a predicted model, not a curated record
AUGAGGCACGGCAUUUUGCCUUUCCCCAGCUUGCUGAUGGAAUUGAGCUUCCCGAUCUUUUUGAAGAUAGUGUUGAGACGUGACUUCUCCUUGAAGGUCUUCGCAUAAAGGAUUUCUGCCUGCCCCAUUAGGGCUAGAAGAAAUCUUGGUGAGUGUGGUAGCUCCCACACUGAGGCAGCUGAGGUAGGAGGAUUCCUGUGAGUGCACAACCAGCCUGGGCUGCAUCCUAAGACCCUGCAUAAAGUGUAAAAUGAAACGAAGACACUUCAUUUUGAAUUAAAGACCAUGGUUCCCAGCACUGAACUUCAGUCAACACUCCAGCAACGGUGUCUGUCCCCAGUUCAAUCACUUGGAGUGGAUUCGCUAAGCACACAGAGUUCUGGGAAUGGAACCCGAAGCUUACGGAGCCACACGGUCCGCCCUUUACUUCACUUUCAUCUUUUGAAGUAGUAAAUAACAGUUACUGGUUUCAUCUUGUAAGUCCGGGAGAAAUAAGGGUCUUUUCCUUCAUUGUCUUCACAUUUAAAAACCGAUUAAAAUCCACAGAAAAACAUCAAAG